AUUCACGUGAUGAAUCCCAAACAGAACGAAAUGCGCAUCCAGAAU
Molecule: non-coding RNA, 45 nt
Organism: Trichobilharzia regenti
Lineage: Eukaryota; Metazoa; Platyhelminthes; Trematoda; Strigeidida; Schistosomatidae
Source: Rfam